This 779-nucleotide long non-coding RNA is filed under the name Monodelphis domestica (gray short-tailed opossum). RNAcentral describes it as "lncRNA (ENSMODG00000040163.1)". Lineage: Eukaryota; Metazoa; Chordata; Mammalia; Didelphimorphia; Didelphidae. The record is from RNAcentral.
UGGGUCAUGAGAUGGAUGACAACAAAGCAAAGAAGACUGAAGAGUGGUUAGGAAGAUGGAAGGAGAAUAAAGAUGAAGGAUUCAGAGAAAUUAAGGAGUAUAUUCAGGAGAUGGGAGUGAAAGACUGUCGACUAAGAGUUUACAGUCUGUGAUAAAUGUGAAUUACUGACAAAUUCCUGACAGAUUCACGUCAGAUUAAAUCCUCCCCCAAUGUUCUUAAAAGAAUACAUCCCAUAUCUAUGGUCAAAAGAGAAGACCAUCAAUGGGUCCUUCAAAUAUUUCUAUAUGGAAAGAAAGGGAGAAGUCAGUUUGACAAGAGACCACUUGGAAAAAUGCUAUGCUCUGACCAGUGCCAAUCUGCCUGAAGGCAUCAAAACAAUUAGGUAACUAAAGUGGGGAAAUGAGCACAAAGAGAAUAGGUUCUAUUUACUGAGAGUCAUGAGGAGAAAAAAUCAAGCAUAUCUGAGACUUCCAUCUAUGAGGAAUUCCAUUUGGCUGGUGAACUUAUGGAAGCUACUUUUCAUUUUAGUCCACAGUUUUAAGAUAAAGAAUGAAAGACUCUCACUGGCUAUCCCUCUUUAGUCUAAGACCCAGGAUAAUCAUUACUGUCUCUUGCCCAUUCCUUUCCACAGUCUGUGGGUGUGAAUGAUUUGGAAGUAUUUCUUAUUGGCAUCAAGGACUCAAGGAUCAGAGGAGAGAAAAAGGAAAGACAUAAUGAAGCAAACUCAUAUAUUUCCUUUGUAUUUGUUUCCAUAUUAUUAAAACUGAUGUGAUCACAA